UAAUCGUGGAUCAGAAUGCCACGGUGAAUACGUUCCCGGGCCUUGUACACACCGCCCGUCACACCAUGGGAGUGGGUUGCAAAAGAAGUAGGUAGCUUAACCUUCGGGAGGGCGCUUACCACUUUGUGAUUCAUGACUGGGGUGAAGUCGUAACAAGGUAACCGUAGGGGAACCUGCGGUUGGAUCACCUCCUUACCUUAAAGAA
RNAcentral lists this ribosomal RNA (205 nucleotides) under Escherichia coli. RNAcentral's name for it is "partial 16S ribosomal RNA". It matches the Rfam family "Bacterial small subunit ribosomal RNA", at positions 1339 to 1533 of the family's 1533-position model. RNAcentral also lists the same sequence under 1 other name. The record is from RNAcentral. Lineage: Bacteria; Pseudomonadati; Pseudomonadota; Gammaproteobacteria; Enterobacterales; Enterobacteriaceae.